UUAGUCCCGGUCAGGAUGGG
RNAcentral lists this non-coding RNA (20 nucleotides) under Rattus norvegicus (Norway rat). Lineage: Eukaryota; Metazoa; Chordata; Mammalia; Rodentia; Muridae. The record is from RNAcentral.